AUUCUUUAUAAUCAGAACCAUUAAUAAAUUAAUGUGAACUUGUUCUUGUACCUCAUUGCUCAAUAUCAGAUAUAUAAUUUUUCAUUUUUAGUUUUUAUGCAAGCUUCUGAAUGUUCGGGUAUUAGACAACUCCUUUACAUACUCAAAAUAUUUUUCGUAUGUGAAAAAAUUUGUUUGCAUGGGAUAAGCUGAAUGCCGAAAGCAGUGCACAUAUGAUUUUCUUCAAACAAUUAAAUCUUUCAGGUAAAGACAUCCAACAAUCAAGAAUGAUAGCCAACUUCUCCAGACGGUUUCUUUCUAGAGCUUUUUGCAAUUCUGCAAAUUUCAUUUUCCACAAUUCUGAUGAUGAUAGUUUAGAAAUGGAAUUAAUAAAACUAUCAGCUUUCAUCCACUCAAAAAGAGGGUCAAAGAAUGUCAUAUUUAGAUCAAUUAAAUCAGGUUUGAUAAGGUAAGAAAAUGUGUGCACGUGAGUUUGGAAGUCUUCAUACUGUUUUGCAAAUUUUUCUUUGAGCUCUUCAACAUACUUUUGAAGUUUGUUUUGGUUAACAGUAAAUCUAUUUGUAAAGUUCCUUACAUUUGGAAAGUAUUUGUAGAUGUUAGUGCUAAUAUCGUGCAAAAAUAUAAUUUUUUACUACUAUUCAAUUCAGUCUGAGUGCCAUUGAAAACGUUCUGCGUGCCAAGCAUGGCAUGCAUGCUGUAAGUUGUCAACCCAUUUUAUACAAUACUGUAAAUUUAGAUACACUUAAAGAUUUUAAGAGAGAGUAUUUAAAUGCCUAUUAUUCAUUUCAAAAUGACAGAUCAAAAAUAAAAAUACUGGAUUUCCUUGAGUUACAAACUUUUGUACAUAUGAGCAAGCCAUUUCAUUUUCAAAUUUUAGAAAAUUUCAAAAAAAUAUCUAAAAAAUUUUUUAAACAUUUACAAAAGCAGAAUACUCUA
This 936-nucleotide long non-coding RNA is filed under the name Androctonus crassicauda. The record is from RNAcentral. Lineage: Eukaryota; Metazoa; Arthropoda; Arachnida; Scorpiones; Buthidae.